Molecule: non-coding RNA, 168 nt
Organism: Podarcis lilfordi (Lilford's wall lizard)
Lineage: Eukaryota; Metazoa; Chordata; Lepidosauria; Squamata; Lacertidae
Source: the annotation of a GenBank genome assembly
UGCAAAUGCUGAUGCCCAUGGGAUGUUUCUGGUUUUUUGAGUGCAGUUUUUUUUUUACUGAAGCACAUCCAUAGGUUUUUCACUUCAAGAAAGCCGGUGUGUGUGUGUGUGUGUGUGUGUGUGUGUGUGUGCCAUUUUGGAAUCUGGUAAAGCGAUUUCAAGAUGCAU